RNAcentral lists this ribosomal RNA (253 nucleotides) under uncultured bacterium. Its description in RNAcentral is "partial 16S ribosomal RNA". It matches the Rfam family "Bacterial small subunit ribosomal RNA", at positions 524 to 776 of the family's 1533-position model. The record is from RNAcentral.
UACGAAGGGAGCUAGCGUUGUUCGGAAUCACUGGGCGUAAAGCGCACGUAGGCGGAUGUUUCAGUCAGGGGUGAAAUCCCGGAGCUCAACUUCGGAACUGCCCUUGAUACAGCACGUCUUGAGUCCGGAAGGGGUGGGUGGAAUUCCUAGUGUAGAGGUGAAAUUCGUAGAUAUUCGGAGGAACACCAGUGGCGAAGGCGGCUCACUGGCUCGGUACUGACGCUGAGCUGCGAAAGCGUGGGGAGCAAACAGG